AGUGAACGCUGGCGGUAGGCCUAACACAUGCAAGUCGAACGGCAGCACAGAGGAGCUUGCUCCUUGGGUGGCGAGUGGCGGACGGGUGAGGAAUACAUCGGAAUCUACUCUGUCGUGGGGGAUAACGUAGGGAAACUUACGCUAAUACCGCAUACGACCUACGGGUGAAAGCAGGGGAUCUUCGGACCUUGCGCGAUUGAAUGAGCCGAUGUCGGAGUAGCUAGUUGGCGGGGUAAAGGCCCACCAAGGCGACGAUCCGUAGCUGGUCUGAGAGGAUGAUCAGCCACACUGGAACUGGGACACGGUCCAGACUCCUACGGAAGGCAGCAGUGGGGAAUAUUGGGCAAUGGGCGCAAGCCUGAUCCAGCCGUACCGCGUGGGUGAAGAAGGCCUUCGGGUUGUAAAGCCCUUUUGUUGGGAAAGAAAUCCAUCUGGUUAAUACCCGGGUGGGAUGACGGUACCCAAAGAAUAAGCACCGGCUAACUUCGUGCCAGCCGCCGCCGUAA
RNAcentral lists this ribosomal RNA (506 nucleotides) under uncultured bacterium. RNAcentral describes it as "partial 16S ribosomal RNA". It matches the Rfam family "Bacterial small subunit ribosomal RNA", at positions 29 to 523 of the family's 1533-position model. The record is from RNAcentral.